CAGCCGCCACGGGAAUACGUAGGGUGCGAGCGUUGUCCGGAAUUAUUGGGCGUAAAGAGCUUGUAGGCGGUCUGUCGCGUCUGCUGUGAAAACCCGAGGCUCAACCUCGGGCCUGCAGUGGGUACGGGCAGACUAGAGUGCGGUAGGGGAGAACGGAACUCCUGGUGUAGCGGUGGAAUGCGCAGAUAUCAGGAAGAACACCGAUGGCGAAGGCAGUUCUCUGGGCCGUAACUGACGCUGAGAAGCGAAAGCGUGGGGAGCGAACAGGAUUAGAUACCCGAGUAGUCCCUGUCUCUUAUAA
Molecule: ribosomal RNA, 301 nt
Filed under: uncultured bacterium
Lineage: Bacteria
Description: partial 16S ribosomal RNA
Rfam family: Bacterial small subunit ribosomal RNA
Source: RNAcentral